RNAcentral lists this small nuclear RNA (315 nucleotides) under Ailuropoda melanoleuca (giant panda). RNAcentral describes it as "7SK RNA". It matches the Rfam family "7SK RNA". Rfam says of the family: 7SK was discovered as an abundant small nuclear RNA in the mid-70s but a possible function has only recently been suggested. Two independent studies have found that 7SK RNA binds the CDK9/cyclin T complex (known as elongation factor P-TEFb). The record is from Rfam by way of RNAcentral. Lineage: Eukaryota; Metazoa; Chordata; Mammalia; Carnivora; Ursidae.
GGGUAGGGCCAUCUGGCUGUGACACAUGUCACCCCAUUGAUCACCAGGGUUGAUUCGGUUGAUCCGGCUGACCAGGCAGGUGUCCCCUUCCUCCCUCACCAUUCCAAUGCAUCCCUCCUGAAGCUGUGUACUCAGUAGAAGUGGAUGACCUUCCCUGAUACAGGAGGACCGUUCUUUGGUAAGGGUAGCUGUGUUCCCCUGCUGGAACAUCCAAACAAGCUGCCAAGGUCCAUUUGUAGGAGAACAUAGGGUAGCCAAGCUUCCAAGAUUCUAGACACAUCAAAUGAGGUGCUGCAUCUGGCAGCCUGCCUUUCU